This is a long non-coding RNA of Mastomys coucha (southern multimammate mouse), 442 nucleotides long. RefSeq lists it as uncharacterized. NCBI's taxonomy places the organism in Eukaryota, Metazoa, Chordata, Mammalia, Rodentia, Muridae. The transcript is spliced from 2 exons. The record is from RefSeq and is a predicted model, not a curated record.
CACCCGUCAAUAUGGAGCAAUAUCUCAGGCACUGAUGUAAAUAGCCUCUCCACCAGCAAGUAUUGCUGUGCCUGACCCUGCUUCCCCAUCACAGGACGCUGAGGUAGGAAGAUUCUCAAGACCCUAGGAAGAUUCUCAAGACCCUACCUCAAAACAAUCAAACAACCAAUGAGAGAAAGGAAGUGUUUAUAACCACCCACCUACUGCCAUUCCCACUGCUCUGUUCUUGGUGUUGAUCUGAGUUCCCAUUUUACAUCCCUCAGCCUUGAAGAACCUCCUCUCCCAUCUCAAGGUUCGUGUUUCUUUGACAGGAACCACAGAAAAGGAAGGAAGCACCUUCAUGGACUCUACUUGACUCCUUGACCAUUUCUUUCUUUUUUCUUCUACCAUUUCCAGGUGAAGAACUCCUGGAAAUUCUAUACCCAGCAAUACUAACCUUUCC